CAGCAGCCGCGGUAAUACGAAGGGUGCAAGCGUUAAUCGGAAUUACUGGGCGUAAAGCGUGCGUAGGCGGUUUGUUAAGUCUGUUGUGAAAUCCCCGGGCUCAACCUGGGAAUGGCAAUGGAUACUGGCAAGCUAGAGUGUGUCAGAGGAUGGUGGAAUUCCAGGUGUAGCAGUGAAAUGCGUAGAGAUCUGGAGGAACAUCAGUGGCGAAGGCGGCCAUCUGGGACAACACUGACGCUGAGGCACGAAAGCGUGGGGAGCAAACAGGAUUAGAGACCCCCGUAGUCCCUGUCUCUUAUAU
This 301-nucleotide ribosomal RNA is filed under the name uncultured bacterium. RNAcentral describes it as "partial 16S ribosomal RNA". It matches the Rfam family "Bacterial small subunit ribosomal RNA", at positions 509 to 809 of the family's 1533-position model. The record is from RNAcentral.